AACGACGCUGGCGGCGUGGAUUAGGCAUGCAAGUCGAACGUGAGGGACCCUUCGGGGUUCUGAAAGUGGCAAACGGGUGAGUAACGCGUGGGAAACCUGCCCUUGUGUUGGGGAUAACACUCCUAACGGGGUGCUAAUACCGAAUGAGAUUUUCGGAUCGCAUGGUCUGGAGAUGAAAGGCGGCCUCUGCUUGCAUGCUGUCGCACAAGGAUGGUCCCGCGUCCCAUUAGCUAGUUGGUGGGGUAACGGCCUACCAAGGCAGUGAUGGGUAGCCGGCCUUAGCGGGUGUCCGGCCACACUGGGACUGAGAUACGGCCCAGACUCCUACGGGAGGCAGCAGUCGAGAGGCUUCUACAAUGGGGGAAACCCUGAUAGAGCGACGCCGCGUGGGUGAUGAAGGUCUUCGGAUCGUAAAGCCCUUUCAGCAGGGAAGAAUGAGGCUGGUGUAAACAGCGCCAGACUCGGGACGGUACCUGCAGAAGAAGCUCCGGCUAACUCCGUG
This 502-nucleotide ribosomal RNA is filed under the name uncultured bacterium. RNAcentral's name for it is "bacterial SSU rRNA". It matches the Rfam family "Bacterial small subunit ribosomal RNA", at positions 33 to 507 of the family's 1533-position model. The record is from RNAcentral.